UACGGAGGGUGCAAGCGUUAUCCGGAUUUACUGGGCUUAAAGGGUGCGUAGGCGGGUCUUUAAGUCUGUUGUGAAAGCCCUGGGCUCAACCUGGGAAUUGCAGUGGAUACUGGGCGACUAGAGUGUGGUAGAGGGGAGUGGGAUUCCCGGUGUAGCAGUGAAAUGCGUAGAGAUCGGGAGGAACAUCCAUGGCGAAGGCAGCUCCCUGGACCAACACUGACACUGAGGCACGAAAGCGUGGGGAGCAAACAGG
This 253-nucleotide ribosomal RNA is filed under the name uncultured bacterium. RNAcentral describes it as "partial 16S ribosomal RNA". It matches the Rfam family "Bacterial small subunit ribosomal RNA", at positions 524 to 776 of the family's 1533-position model. The record is from RNAcentral.